RNAcentral lists this long non-coding RNA (1874 nucleotides) under Anas zonorhyncha (Eastern spot-billed duck). Its description in RNAcentral is "lncRNA (ENSAZOG00000003373.1)". Lineage: Eukaryota; Metazoa; Chordata; Aves; Anseriformes; Anatidae. The record is from RNAcentral.
AUGCGCAGGGUGGGAGGGGGCGGCGGGGGGGGGGAGCGCCGCGCCUCGUGCCGCCGGCCCGCAGGGCGCCUGCGCGCAGCGUCACGUGACGGGGCUGCGGCGGGAAAAAACGGGAGGAGAAGGCGGCGGCGCCAUCUUGGAGACGGGCAGGGGGAAUGGGGGGCGGCCCUCCCGCCGCCCUGCGCCUCAGGAGGGGGGCGACGUGAGGAGGACGCCCUCAGGGAGAGCCGAGCCCCCGAGCGAUGCCCGAGGCACCCCCCCGGGGGGGAUUCUGAAGAAAUGGGGUGAAAAAUGAACCAAAAGGGGGCGAAAAUCAGCCAAAAGUAAGGGGUUGGGGUCCCCUGGGGCUCAGGGUGGGGUCCCUGUGGGUCUGGGGUCUCCUGGGACUUGGGGCCAGGGUCUUGGGGGUCCCAGGUCCCUGUGGGCCCUGCUCCCUUUGGGUCUGGGGUCCCGUGGGACUCAGAGCUGGGGUCCUGAGGGUCCAGGGUCCCCGUGGGUCUGGGGUCCCAGUGGGUGCUUGGGUGUUUGGGGCCCCCCCCUUUGGGGCUGGGGUCCCCUGGGGCUCAGGGCCGGGGUCCCGGGGGUCCCAGGUCCCGGUGGGGUCGGGGCAGGGUCCCCGUGGGUCUGGGGUCCCGGGGGCCCCGUCCCGCGCUCCCCGUCCCCGCGGGGUCCCCUCGGCCCCGCCCCCUCGGCUNNNNNNNNNNGGUAAAUUCUUCUCCCAGCUCCACAAAACAUCACAUAACCCCUCCCAAGAACAUAAUUCAGAACUUCGGGGCUUUUCCUGAGGUAAACUUUGCCCCCAGCCCCACAAAACGCCGUUUGCCCCCCUCCCGAGGCAAUAAAAAGCGAUUUUGGGGCUGUCCCUGAGGUAAAAAUACCCCCUAACCCCACAAAACACCGCGUGCCCCCCUCCCACAGCCCUAAUUCGGACCGGGGGGCCUCUCCCUGAGGUAACCUCGCCCCCCCCAGCCCCUAAUUAGUUAAUUGGGGCCUCCCCGUGAGCCCUCCCCCGCCCCCCCCCGUCGCCGCGCGCCCCCUGCCCGUUCCCGCCCGCGGCGCUGCGCAUGCGCAGGGUGGGAGGGGGCGGCGGGGGGGGGGAGCGCCGCGCCUCGUGCCGCCGGCCCGCAGGGCGCCUGCGCGCAGCGUCACGUGACGGGGCUGCGGCGGGAAAAAACGGGAGGAGAAGGCGGCGGCGCCAUCUUGGAGACGGGCAGGGGGAAUGGGGGGCGGCCCUCCCGCCGCCCUGCGCCUCGGGAGGGGGGCGACGUGAGGUAAAACUUUAAGGAAAGAGCCCCCCCGGUGGGAUAAAGCCAUAAAAAAGGGUCUCCCGUUUGAAAUAAGGGGUUAAGGGAGGCCCCCCCCUUGAAGUAAAGGGGUAAGGGCUGCCCUGUGAGGUAAAGGUUUAAGGAAGGGCCCCCCCCCUUUGAGGUAAGAGCUUCAGGGACCCCCCCUGAGGUAAAAAAUUAAGGAAUUCUCUCCCCCCUUGAGGUAAAGGGUUAAAGAAGGGCCCCCCCGUUGAGGUAAAGCGCUAAGGGCUCCAUUAUGAGGUAAAAGUUUAAGGAAUGACGCCCCCCUUUGAGGUAAAGGGCUGAAGGCCCCCCCCUUGAGGUAAAGGAUUACAGAAGGGCCCCCCUUUGAGGUAAAAAUUUAUGGGAUCCCCCUUUGAGGUUAAGGGUUAAGGCCCCCCCAUGGGGUAAAGCCAUAAAAAAGGCCCCGGGAUCCCCCUUUGAGGUUAAGGGUUAAGGCCCCCCCAUGGGGUAAAGCCAUAAAAAAGGCCCCCUGCCCUUGAAAUAAAGGGUUAAGCCCCCCCCGUGAGGUAAAAUCUUAAAGAAAGGUCCCCCCCGUGAAGUAAAACUUUAAAAAAAGGGCCCCCC